Molecule: ribosomal RNA, 505 nt
Filed under: uncultured bacterium
Lineage: Bacteria
Description: partial 16S ribosomal RNA
Rfam family: Bacterial small subunit ribosomal RNA
Source: RNAcentral
GACGAACGCUGGCGGCGUGCCUAAUACAUGCAAGUCGAACGCACAGUUUAUACCGUAGCUUGCUACACCAUAGACUGUGAGUUGCGAACGGGUGAGUAACGCGUAGGUAACCUGCCUGGUAGCGGGGGAUAACUAUUGGAAACGAUAGCUAAUACCGCAUAAUAUUAAUUAUUGCAUGAUAAUUAAUUGAAAGGUGCAAUUGCACCACUACCAGAUGGACCUGCGUUGUAUUAGCUAGUAGGUGAGGUAACGGCUCACCUAGGCGACGAUACAUAGCCGACCUGAGAGGGGGAUCGGCCACACUGGGACUGAGACACGGCCCAGACUCCUACGGGAGGCAGCAGUAGGGAAUCUUCGGCAAUGGACGAAAGUCUGACCGAGCAACGCCGCGGGAGUGAAGAAGGUUUUCGGAUCGUAAAGCUCUGUUGUAAGAGAAGAACGGGUGUGAGAGUGGAAAGUUCACACUGUGACGGUAGCUUACCAGAAAGGGACGGCUAACUACGUG